This 253-nucleotide ribosomal RNA is filed under the name uncultured bacterium. Its description in RNAcentral is "partial 16S ribosomal RNA". It matches the Rfam family "Bacterial small subunit ribosomal RNA", at positions 524 to 776 of the family's 1533-position model. The record is from RNAcentral.
UACGUAGGGCGCAAGCGUUGUCCGGAAUUAUUGGGCGUAAAGAGCUCGUAGGCGGUCUGUUGCGUCGGAUGUGAAAGCCCGGGGCUUAACCCCGGGUCUGCAUUCGAUACGGGCAGACUAGAGUGUGGUAGGGGAGAUCGGAAUUCCUGGUGUAGCGGUGAAAUGCGCAGAUAUCUGGAGGAACACCGGUGGCGAAGGCGGCUUCCUGGACCGACACUGACGCUGAUGAGCGAAAGCCAGGGGAGCAAACGGG